UAAGUGAUAAAGACAUAGGGUCUUUAGAUUUGGGGUCCUUGGUCCAAAAUAAUAAAAAUGAGGUCAAGGUCAAAGGUCAAGGUCAUAUUCUAAAUUUUGAUUUUGGCUUAUUUUCAUUUAUUUUCAAAUACCUUAUGACAUAUCGACAAAUAAUUUUUCAUAAAUUGUUAGUUGCGACAUGUCCUUACUUGUAUAUUUUGAUUGAAAGGGUGCGCAGGCAAUAAAUAGGAGUUUUUGCCCAUCUUACAUUUAGAAUUACGCGUAAAGUGAUAUUACUAAUAAACCAAACAUAUUAAAGACCUUGGGUCUUUUGAUUUAAGGUCCUUGGUUUGUGAACUUGAAAUUGAGGUCAAGGUCAUAGGUCAAUAUGACGUUCUAGAUUUUGACCUUUGCUUUAAAUUCAUAUAAAUACAUCAUACAGCCAUAGGAACUAACAUUUUAAACUGAUUUUUAAUAUUUCAAUAUCAAAAUAGAUCUUUUCUAGUGGAAAGACCUACAAUUGUUCUCUGAACAAUUGGUUUUUAAUUAUUAUUAUUUUUUUUUUUUUUUUCUUCCGCCUAAUUUUUUUCUUGCGUAUUAUUGAUGUUUCAAAAGAUGUCGCUUAUAUAUUUGGAAUAUGGUAUCGUAUAGUUUAUACGCUUUAAAAAAUUUACAACUGUGUAACAAAAUACUUUACGUUGUAAGAGUUAUCUCCCCAAACACUGUUUUUCUUGUGGCCACUACUCCUUCGCAACCGUUAAAGAUUACGACAAAUUUAUUUUACCAAAUUGCUCGUUACAUCUUCAGGAUUAGGAUAUUCAUUUGGACCGAAGCUUUACGGAGACUCCAUAUGAGAGUUAUUCCCCCUUUUCCCUUAAAUUAAGUGAUAUGCAUUUCUAAAUGGUAAACCAUAAGUGAUAAAGACAUAGGGUCUUUAGAUUUGGGGUCCUUGGUCGAAAAUAAUAAAAAUGAGGUCAAGGUCAAAGGUCAAGGUCAUAUUCUAAAUUUUGAUUUUGGCUUAUUUUCAUUUAUUUUCAAAUACCUUAUGACAUAUCGACAAAUAAUUUUUCAUAAAUUGUUAGUUGCGACAUGUCCUUACUUGUAUAUUUUGAUUGAAAGGGUGCGCAGACAAUAAAUAGGAGUUUUUGCCCAUCUUACAUUUAGAAUUACGGGUAAAGUGAUAUUACUAAUAAACCAAACAUAUUAAAGACCUUGGGUCUUUUGAUUUAAGGUCCUUGGUUUGUUAACUUGAAAUUGAGGUCAAGGUCAUAGGUUAAUAUGACGUUCUAGAUUUUGACCUUUGCUUUAAAUUCAUAUAAAUACAUCAUACAGCCAUAGGAACUAACAUUUUAAACUGAUUUUUAAUAUUUCAAUAUCAAAAAAGAUCUUUUCUAGUGGAAAGACCUACAAUUGUUCUCUGAACAAUUGGUUUUUAAUU
This 1417-nucleotide long non-coding RNA is filed under the name Mytilus galloprovincialis (Mediterranean mussel). Lineage: Eukaryota; Metazoa; Mollusca; Bivalvia; Mytilida; Mytilidae. The record is from RNAcentral.